GUAUCAGAAGUGCGAAUGCUGACAUAAGUAACGAUAAAGCGGGUGAAAAGCCCGCUCGCCGGAAGACCAAGGGUUCCUGUCCAACGUUAAUCGGGGCAGGGUGAGUCGACCCCUAAGGCGAGGCCGAAAGGCGUAGUCGAUGGGAAACAGGUUAAUAUUCCUGUACUUGGUGUUACUGCGAAGGGGGGACGGAGAAGGCUAUGUUGGCCGGGCGACGGUUGUCCCGGUUUAAGCGUGUAGGCUGGUUUUCCAGGCAAAUCCGGAAAAUCAAGGCUGAGGCGUGAUGACGAGGCACUACGGUGCUGAAGCAACAAAUGCCCUGCUUCCAGGAAAAGCCUCUAAGCAUCAGGUAACAUCAAAUCGUACCCCAAACCGACACAGGUGGUCAGGUAGAGAAUACCAAGGCGCUUGAGAGAACUCGGGUGAAGGAACUAGGCAAAAUGGUGCCGUAACUUCGGGAGAAGGCACGCUGAUAUGUAGGUGAAGUCCCUCGCGGAUGGAGCUGAAAUCAGUCGAAGAUACCAGCUGGCUGCAACUGUUUAUUAAAAACACAGCACUGUGCAAACACGAAAGUGGACGUAUACGGUGUGACGCCUGCCCGGUGCCGGAAGGUUAAUUGAUGGGGUUAGCGCAAGCGAAGCUCUUGAUCGAAGCCCCGGUAAACGGCGGCCGUAACUAUAACGGUCCUAAGGUAGCGAAAUUCCUUGUCGGGUAAGUUCCGACCUGCACGAAUGGCGUAAUGAUGGCCAGGCUGUCUCCACCCGAGACUCAGUGAAAUUGAACUCGCUGUGAAGAUGCAGUGUACCCGCGGCAAGACGGAAAGACCCCGUGAACCUUUACUAUAGCUUGACACUGAACAUUGAGCCUUGAUGUGUAGGAUAGGUGGGAGGCUUAGAAGUGUGGACGCCAGUCUGCAUGGAGCCGACCUUGAAAUACCACCCUUUAAUGUUUGAUGUUCUAACGUUGACCCGUAAUCCGGGUUGCGGACAGUGUCUGGUGGGUAGUUUGACUGGGGCGGUCUCCUCCUAAAGAGUAACGGAGGAGCACGAAGGUUGGCUAAUCCUGGUCGGACAUCAGGAGGUUAGUGCAAUGGCAUAAGCCAGCUUGACUGCGAGCGUGACGGCGCGAGCAGGUGCGAAAGCAGGUCAUAGUGAUCCGGUGGUUCUGAAUGGAAGGGCCAUCGCUCAACGGAUAAAAGGUACUCCGGGGAUAACAGGCUGAUACCGCCCAAGAGUUCAUAUCGACGGCGGUGUUUGGCACCUCGAUGUCGGCUCAUCACAUCCUGGGGCUGAAGUAGGUCCCAAGGGUAUGGCUGUUCGCCAUUUAAAGUGGUACGCGAGCUGGGUUUAGAACGUCGUGAGACAGUUCGGUCCCUAUCUGCCGUGGGCGCUGGAGAACUGAGGGGGGCUGCUCCUAGUACGAGAGGACCGGAGUGGACGCAUCACUGGUGUUCGGGUUGUCAUGCCAAUGGCACUGCCCGGUAGCUAAAUGCGGAAGAGAUAAGUGCUGAAAGCAUCUAAGCACGAAACUUGCC
This 1534-nucleotide ribosomal RNA is filed under the name Escherichia coli. RNAcentral describes it as "partial 23S ribosomal RNA". It matches the Rfam family "Bacterial large subunit ribosomal RNA", at positions 1279 to 2798 of the family's 2925-position model. The record is from RNAcentral. Lineage: Bacteria; Pseudomonadati; Pseudomonadota; Gammaproteobacteria; Enterobacterales; Enterobacteriaceae.